AUUGAACGCUGGCGGCAGGCCUAACACAUGCAAGUCGAGCGGAUGAAGGGAGCUUGCUCCUGGAUUCAGCGGCGGACGGGUGAGUAAUGCCUAGGAAUCUGCCUGGUAGUGGGGGAUAACGUCCGGAAACGGGCGCUAAUACCGCAUACGUCCUGAGGGAGAAAGUGGGGGAUCUUCGGACCUCACGCUAUCAGAUGAGCCUAGGUCGGAUUAGCUAGUUGGUGGGGUAAAGGCCUACCAAGGCGACGAUCCGUAACUGGUCUGAGAGGAUGAUCAGUCACCCUGGAACUGAGACACGGUCCAGACCCCGAGGGGGGGCAGCAGGGGGGAAUAUGGGAAGAGGGGGGAAAUCCUGAUCCAGCCAGGCCGGGUGUGUGAAGAAGGUCUUCGGAUUGUAAAGCACUUUAAGUUGGGAGGAAGGGCAGUAAGUUAAAACCUGGCUGUUUUGACGUUACCAACAAAAAAAGCCCCGGCAAACUUCGG
RNAcentral lists this ribosomal RNA (483 nucleotides) under uncultured bacterium. Its description in RNAcentral is "partial 16S ribosomal RNA". It matches the Rfam family "Bacterial small subunit ribosomal RNA", at positions 29 to 506 of the family's 1533-position model. The record is from RNAcentral.